AUUGAACGCUGGCGGCAUGCUUUACACAUGCAAGUCGAACGGCAGCGCGGGCUUCGGCCUGGCGGCGAGUGGCGAACGGGUGAGUAAUACAUCGGAACGUGCCCAGUAGUGGGGGAUAGCUCGGCGAAAGCCGGAUUAAUACCGCAUACGACCUGAGGGUGAAAGCGGGGGAUCUUCGGACCUCGCGCUAUUGGAGCGGCCGAUGGCAGAUUAGCUAGUUGGUGGGGUAAAGGCCUACCAAGGCGACGAUCUGUAGCUGGUCUGAGAGGACGACCAGCCACACUGGGAAUGAGACACGGCCCAGACUCCUACGGGAGGCAGCAGUGGGGAAUGUUGGACAAUGGGCGAAAGCCUGAUCCAGCAAUGCCGCGUGUGUGAUGAAGGCCUUCGGGUUGUAAAGCACUUUUGGCGGGAACGAAAAGGACUGUGCCAAUACCACGGUUCGAUGACGGUACCCGCAGAAUAAGCACCGGCUAACUACGUG
This 484-nucleotide ribosomal RNA is filed under the name uncultured bacterium. Its description in RNAcentral is "partial 16S ribosomal RNA". It matches the Rfam family "Bacterial small subunit ribosomal RNA", at positions 29 to 507 of the family's 1533-position model. The record is from RNAcentral.